RNAcentral lists this long non-coding RNA (595 nucleotides) under Gossypium raimondii (Peruvian cotton). Its description in RNAcentral is "long non-coding RNA (GRAI_LNC002118)". Lineage: Eukaryota; Viridiplantae; Streptophyta; Magnoliopsida; Malvales; Malvaceae. The record is from RNAcentral.
AAACUUCUCGUCUACGAUCGGGCAAUCAAGUGAAUCGACUCAAUUAACCGAGCCGGAUCACAUCAUUUGGUAUCAGAGCUACUAAAACGAGGAGUGCAGACAUUCGUAUCAAGCUCGGAGUAGGUUCGUAACGUAAAAAAAAGUCAAAAAAAUCAAAAAAAAUUUUGAGUUGGAAUUUAAUUUUUUUUUCUUCCUUGUAUUUAGUUUACUAUUGUAUUGGAUUUAAAAAAAAAGAGAAGAAAUUCGGAAAAAAAUUCAAAAAAAAUCAAAAAAAAAGGAAAAAAAAAGAAGUGACAAAAAAUUGAGUUAAAAAAAAGAAGAAAGAAAAAAAAAGUGAAAAGUCUUGCGAGUAUUUAUCAUUAUCACUUAUUACUCCGAUCAUCAAGUUUCCCUUCCUACCAUUAUUUACCCAUCCCAACGCCACACUUUAAACCAAUUUUCUUCUUUGUUCAGCCUACCCUACACCCGACAUUAUCCCUUGUAACCCAUUUUGAAACCGACCUUCAAGCAGCAAAUUAAGUCUAUCGAGACGAAUUACGAAUUUGUGAGACGAGGUCGAGGGGUAAAAGGCAAGAGAGCGUGAGUUCAUUCGAAA